AACGAACGCUGGCGGCAUGCCUAACACAUGCAAGUCGAACGAGACCUUCGGGUCUAGUGGCGCACGGGUGCGUAACGCGUGGGAACCUGCCCUUAGGUUCGGAAUAACUCCCCGAAAGGGGUGCUAAUACCGGAUAAUGUCUUCGGACCAAAGAUUUAUCGCCUUUGGAUGGGCCCGCGUUGGAUUAGCUAGUUGGUAGGGUAAAAGCCUACCAAGGCGACGAUCCAUAGCUGGUCUGAGAGGAUGAUCAGCCACACUGGGACUGAGACACGGCCCAGACUCCUACGGGAGGCAGCAGUGGGGAAUAUGGGACAAUGGGCGAAAGCCUGAGCCAGCAAUGCCGCGUGAGUGAUGAAGGCCUUAGGGUUGUAAAGCUCUUUUACCCGGGAUGAUAAUGACAGUACCGGGAGAAUAAGCUCCGGCUAACUCCGG
This 432-nucleotide ribosomal RNA is filed under the name uncultured bacterium. RNAcentral's name for it is "partial 16S ribosomal RNA". It matches the Rfam family "Bacterial small subunit ribosomal RNA", at positions 29 to 506 of the family's 1533-position model. The record is from RNAcentral.